Molecule: ribosomal RNA, 497 nt
Filed under: uncultured bacterium
Lineage: Bacteria
Description: partial 16S ribosomal RNA
Rfam family: Bacterial small subunit ribosomal RNA
Source: RNAcentral
GAUGAACGCUGGCGGCGUGCCUAAUACAUGCAAGUCGAGCGAACGGACGAGAAGCUUGCUUCUCUGAUGUUAGCGGCGGACGGGUGAGUAACACGUGGAUAACCUACCUAUAAGACUGGGAUAACUUCGGGAAACCGGAGCUAAUACCGGAUGAUAUUUUGAACCGCAUGGUUCAAAAGUGAAAGACGGUCUUGCUGUCACUUAUAGAUGGAUCCGCGCUGCAUUAGCUAGUUGGUAAGGUAACGGCUUACCAAGGCAACGAUGCAUAGCCGACCUGAGAGGGUGAUCGGCCACACUGGAACUGAGACACGGUCCAGACUCCUACGGGAGGCAGCAGUAGGGAAUCUUCCGCAAUGGGCGAAAGCCUGACGGAGCAACGCCGCGUGAGUGAUGAAGGCCUUCGGAUCGUAAAACUCUGUUAUUAGGGAAGAAAAUAUGUGUAAGUAACUGUGCACAUCUUGACGGUACCUAAUCAGAAAGCCACGGCUAACUACGUG